AAAUUAGGGUCUCCGUUGGUGACCAGCGGAGGGUCAUUACCGAGUUUACAACUCCCAAACCCCUGUGAACAUACCUUAUGUUGCCUCGGCGGAUCAGCCCGCGCCCCGUAAAAAGGGACGGCCCGCCGCAGGAACCCUAAACUCUGUUUUUAGUGGAACUUCUGAGUAUAAAAAACAAAUAAAUCAAAACUUUCAACAACGGAUCUCUUGGUUCUGGCAUCGAUGAAGAACGCAGCAAAAUGCGAUAAGUAAUGUGAAUUGCAGAAUUCAGUGAAUCAUCGAAUCUUUGAACGCACAUUGCGCCCGCCAGUAUUCUGGCGGGCAUGCCUGUUCGAGCGUCAUUUCAACCCUCAAGCCCAGCUUGGUGUUGGGAGCUGCAGUCCUGCUGCACUCCCCAAAUACAUUGGCGGUCACGUCGAGCUUCCAUAGCGUAGUAAUUUACACAUCGUUACUGGUAAUCGUCGCGGCCACGCCGUUAAACCCCAACUUCUGAAUGUUGACCUCGGAUCAGGUAGGAAUACCCGCUGAACUUAAGCAUAUCAAAA
This 545-nucleotide ribosomal RNA is filed under the name Fusarium graminearum. Its description in RNAcentral is "eukaryotic LSU rRNA". The stretch from base 188 to 341 matches the Rfam family "5.8S ribosomal RNA". The record is from RNAcentral. Lineage: Eukaryota; Fungi; Ascomycota; Sordariomycetes; Hypocreales; Nectriaceae.